Molecule: ribosomal RNA, 552 nt
Filed under: Triticum aestivum (bread wheat)
Lineage: Eukaryota; Viridiplantae; Streptophyta; Magnoliopsida; Poales; Poaceae
Description: partial small subunit ribosomal RNA
Source: RNAcentral
AUGAAUCGUGCCCAGGACCGUUUGAAACAGGCAGACAAGCAUCGCUCCGAUCGUACCUUCGCCGUCGGGGAACAGGUCCUCCUCAAGCUCCAACCUUAUGUCCAAGCCUCCGUUGCCGGCCGCCCCUGUCGGAAGUUGGCGUAUAAGUUCUUUGGACCAUUCACCGUCCUGGAACAUAUUGGCAACCUAGCCUAUCGCCUGGAGCUUCCACCGGAUGGGCACAUCCACCCGGUGUUUCACAUUUCCUAGCUCAAGCCUUUCGUCCCCAGCUACACUCCAGUCUUCUCUGAGCUACCCAAGGUACCUGACUUGAUGACGACGCCCCUGAAGUCGAUCGCCAUUCAGGAAUGAAGAAUGGUGAAGAAAGGGGAUGCAGCUCUUGUUCAGAUACGAGUGCAAUGGUCUACACUGCCUGCUGAUGCUACUACGUGGGAAGACUACGACAUUCUCCGCAAGCGUUUCCCUCAAGUGGAACUCUGGGAAGAAGAAGAAGCAUCUGCUCAAGACGGGGCGACUGUAAUGCCUUCAGGUUCAGGUUCGUCAGGUAACUGA